Molecule: ribosomal RNA, 339 nt
Filed under: uncultured Pseudoflavonifractor sp.
Lineage: Bacteria; Bacillati; Bacillota; Clostridia; Eubacteriales; Oscillospiraceae
Description: bacterial SSU rRNA
Rfam family: Bacterial small subunit ribosomal RNA
Source: RNAcentral
UGGGGAAUAUUGGGCAAUGGGCGCAAGCCUGACCCAGCAACGCCGCGUGAAGGAAGAAGGCUUUCGGGUUGUAAACUUCUUUUGUUCAGGGACGAGUAGAAGACGGUACCUGACGAAUAAGCCCCGGCAAACUACGUGCCAGCAGCCGCGGUAAUACGUAGGGGGCGAGCGUUAUCCGGAUUUAUUGGGUGUAAAGGGUGCGUAGACGGUUAUGCAAGUUGGUUGUGAAAUCCCGAGGCUCAACUUCGGAACUGCAACCAAAAACUGUGUAACUCGAGUGCGGGAGAGGAAAGCGGAAUUCCUAGUGUAGCGGUGAAAUGCGUAGAUAUUAGGAGGAAC